This is a non-coding RNA of Phthorimaea operculella (potato tuberworm), 68 nucleotides long. NCBI's taxonomy places the organism in Eukaryota, Metazoa, Arthropoda, Insecta, Lepidoptera, Gelechiidae. The record is from the annotation of a GenBank genome assembly.
GAUGUGGCAUAGUGGUAGUGCGACUUUCUGCGGCGCAGAAGGUUCCAGGUUCAAUUCCCGGUGGGUCA